CAUCCUGUGAUGCUGCAUGCUGUGUAGUCAAAGGGAAAUGUCUCCUGACUAGCAGAGAGGUCUCUGAGUCCAUGAUGUCUGUGACAGAAACUGUCUUUGGAGAGAUCAGAGAGAAAGAGAAAGAGAAAGGAUUUGAGAGAAAUGGGGGAUGCUGCCUCUCUCUCAAUCAAUCUGAUGUACAAAUCACUCAUUUCUGUGAAAGAUGGUUGUAUAAGAAUCAGUAUCCCCAUUCAACAGAUGAGAAAACUGAGACUUCAAGGGAUUAAGAUUACUUUUAGUCAUAUGGUUAAAGAAUGUUGUAAGCAAGGAAACUGCCUCACUUAAAAAAUUUUAAUAAAAGUAUUUUCCAU
This 350-nucleotide long non-coding RNA is filed under the name Monodelphis domestica (gray short-tailed opossum). Its description in RNAcentral is "lncRNA (ENSMODG00000042206.1)". Lineage: Eukaryota; Metazoa; Chordata; Mammalia; Didelphimorphia; Didelphidae. The record is from RNAcentral.